RNAcentral lists this ribosomal RNA (433 nucleotides) under uncultured bacterium. Its description in RNAcentral is "partial 16S ribosomal RNA". It matches the Rfam family "Bacterial small subunit ribosomal RNA", at positions 29 to 507 of the family's 1533-position model. The record is from RNAcentral.
AACGAACGCUGGCGGCAUGCCUAACACAUGCAAGUCGAACGAGACCUUCGGGUCUAGUGGCGCACGGGUGCGUAACGCGUGGGAACCUGCCCUUAGGUUCGGAAUAACUCCCCGAAAGGGGUGCUAAUACCGGAUAAUGUCUUCGGACCAAAGAUUUAUCGCCUUUGGAUGGGCCCGCGUUGGAUUAGCUAGUUGGUAGGGUAAAAGCCUACCAAGGCGACGAUCCAUAGCUGGUCUGAGAGGAUGAUCAGCCACACUGGGACUGAGACACGGCCCAGACUCCUACGGGAGGCAGCAGUGGGGAAUAUUGGACAAGGGGCGAAAGCCUGAUACAGCAAUGCCGCGUGAGUGAUGAAGGCCUUAGGGUUGUAAAGCUCUUUUACCCGGGAUGAUAAUGACAGUACCGGGAGAAUAAGCUCCGGCUAACUACGUG